AAAACCUAUAAAUCUCAGGAUUUGUGUUGGGCUCCGCAUCCCGUGCGUUGCCUCAAAGCCAUGGUCUAACCUGCGGACGAGCUCCUUUUGGACCUGCCGUGGUGUGGACUCUCUCUGA
RNAcentral lists this unclassified non-coding RNA (118 nucleotides) under uncultured Archaeorhizomyces. RNAcentral's name for it is "sequence contains ITS2". The record is from RNAcentral. Lineage: Eukaryota; Fungi; Ascomycota; Archaeorhizomycetes; Archaeorhizomycetales; Archaeorhizomycetaceae.